CUGUCAGGUGGGAUAAUCUUUACAUGUUCCUCUACUCAGAGGGCAGGUAGGACAUGACGGAGUUCACAUGAUUCGUGGUUAAUGUCUCUGUGUGAUUGGGGCUUGCAACACACUUAAUUGCUCCCAUCUGAU
This is a small nucleolar RNA of Sorex fumeus (smoky shrew), 132 nucleotides long. RefSeq annotates it as U8 small nucleolar RNA. The transcript has a single exon. The record is from RefSeq and is a predicted model, not a curated record. NCBI's taxonomy places the organism in Eukaryota, Metazoa, Chordata, Mammalia, Eulipotyphla, Soricidae.